Molecule: ribosomal RNA, 301 nt
Filed under: uncultured bacterium
Lineage: Bacteria
Description: partial 16S ribosomal RNA
Rfam family: Bacterial small subunit ribosomal RNA
Source: RNAcentral
CAGCCGCCGCGGUAACACGGAGGGUGCAAGCGUUAAUCGGAAUUACUGGGCGUAAAGCGCACGCAGGCGGUCUGUCAAGUCAGAUGUGAAAUCCCCGGGCUUAACCUGGGAACUGCAUUUGAAACUGGCAGGCUAGAGUCUUGUAGAGGGGGGUAGAAUUCCAGGUGUAGCGGUGAAAUGCGUAGAGAUCUGGAGGAAUACCGGUGGCGAAGGCGGCCCCCUGGACAAAGACUGACGCUCAGGUGCGAAAGCGUGGGGAGCAAACAGGAUUAGAUACCCGAGUAGUCCCUGUCUCUUAUAC